Molecule: transfer RNA, 63 nt
Filed under: Rattus norvegicus (Norway rat)
Lineage: Eukaryota; Metazoa; Chordata; Mammalia; Rodentia; Muridae
Rfam family: tRNA
About the family: Transfer RNA (tRNA) molecules are approximately 80 nucleotides in length.
Source: Rfam by way of RNAcentral
GGGGACUUAGCUCAGUGGUAGAGCGCUUGCAUAGCAAGCGCAAGGCCCUGAGUUCAGUCCCCA